CUUGUUUAAAUGUUGAGGAGUGGCUGCUCUUCACACACCACUUGAAUCCCUCACUUGCUGAGCUUAACAGCUCCUUCUCUUAUCAUGCAAGCUCAUCCACACUCCCCCUCAAGCUUGAGACCGAGUAGAGGAAAGGUCCAAGCUUGAUGGUGAGCGCAUGUUAGCUCCAUGAUAAGCCUUGUGGAGAGCACCUCCAUCUCUUUCAGACUUGAUGCUUGAAUCCUCCACUACAUCACCAUUGCACUGAGGAGAUACCUCAGCCCACUCUCCAAGCAUCUCACACUAGCUUGUUGAGUGACUUUCUUCUUCCCUCCACUUCGGCUGGAUCACUCCAUGAUCAGCUUGCAAUGGCCUUGAGUAACACAGGUCAUUGAGCAACAGGAUCAUCAGGUGGCUCACUUUGCUCCCCUCCUCAAGCUUGGAUUGAGUAUGGGUCCAAGCUUGAAGUGAGCCUCAAUGAGCCUUAAGAUCAGGAGCGCAACAUCUCAUAGAGUGCGCUUCAACCACUGAUCAACCCUUCCCUUUAUCUCCAAUGCCUUCUGGUCACCGGUCUCCUCUAGACUUAGGUGAUGACCACUCGCCUUGUGUAUCCACAUACACCCCAGCGACCAUUCCCAAUGGGUAAAGUCUUCCUCUUCUACUCGGAUUGAUGAUGGACAGAGAGCACAUCAUGUGAACCUGAAACAUCACUCAAACUCCAGCAAAGAUAAGACACAAGCAUUGGGAUCAAUCCUUGACUAAUAUCAAGUUUGAUCUCCAAUGUCACAAGCUAUGCAACAGAUUGAAACAAGCAUUAUCAAGUUCACAUCUUUGCAAGCAAUCUCUCUAAGUACAAGCAAGAUCAAAUAAGAUUCAAGACAAGCUACUUAGGCAUUUUAACUUCUGCCUUAACUACACCUUAGACUUGAAUCUAAGUGUAUCAACCUAAGGCAGCAACAAGAUGACAGUAUGCUAUAUAACCUUAAACAGUUUCUAAUUCAUGAGUGCAACAUGAUCAGACAAUACAAUCUAUCACACACUCAUUUAGAACUGUGGCUAAGCAGUAUUAUCAUCAAUCAACAUCAGACAAUGCAAAACCUUAAGUUAUUUCAGUUUAAUGAAAGCUAAUAGGAUUUAGACAGUUUCUAACAUCCUAGCUCAAUCAUAACCAAAUUGGGCAAGCAUUUCAUUUCUCAACAUCAAACAAGACUCAAUAGCAUCCUGGGACUAAACAAGACAAUAUUAUCAAGCAUUUUCAGUCAUUAACCCACGGAUGCAACAUAAAGAACACAACACAACAGCCAGUUUCAAUCACAAGCUCAUAUCAAGAAGGUUUAGGAUUAGCUUACAACCAAGGAACCUGAGCUGGUUCCUUGAGCCUCCUUGGUAACAGGCCACGAAUCUAGUGGAUAAGAGAGCUGGAUCGUCACCCAACACCUUCUCCUUAUGUUCAUAACCUCCUCCUUGACACCACAACACAAAAGGUUCCACCUUUCUUCACAGCUCCAAGUCUCCAACUUCAGGAACAAGAUGAAAGCUUUCUUCUUGAAGGGUUUCAGCUUGGCACAGAGUUGAGACACGCCUUUAAUGGACUGGAGAGAGGAGGAACGACCAGGAGACACCACCAUAGCUUCAAACACCUUCUUUUUGAAGAGAGAGAACAGGCUGGACAUCUUCAAUGGUUUGGAUCUGUGAUGAGGCUAGACUUGUGAUGUAUAUGCGGAAGCUGGAACCAAGUUCUGAUAGAGAAAGACUCAAAACUUGCUUGAUUAAUUAAUGAGAGAGUGUUUACAUAUUUAUAGGGAGAGAGCUUAGUGUUAGGUUUUCAGAGCUCAGGCUGUGUGUGUGAGAAGAAGCCACUAAGGGCGAAAUGAGAGCUUGAACUGAAGAGAGAAAGGUCUGAUGAAGAACAGUAUGAACUUGGACAGAAACAAGAGAUUUAGAAAGAUUAAGAGAUUUAAGUAUAAGAAAGGGGUAGUUUGAGGGAUUCUUAUCCAAGAACACACUUUGUAUUAUGAAGGAGGAGGGGAAAUCCCCCUCUCUCUCUUAAGAGACACAAAAACGUCCAUACAUAGCUUAUUUAUAAGCUUUACACAUUGCAAACUCAUAAACCCUUAAUCUAAUGGAUAGAAAUGACUGAAUUGAAAUGGAUGGCUAGGAUGGAGUCUGGUGGGUUGCUGAGGACGUGAUGGAUGCUGAUUGGUUGAUUCAAACUGGUCAAAGCAAGGGCUGGCUCCUGAUUGGUUCCCUUAAGGCUCCCAUGAACCUUGUUCACAAAGAUGGCUAGAUACAUGGUCAAGGCUGCUUUUCCUUUACAGCUCAAAGACAGCCUGUCAUUGACCACGCCCUAGCUCUCCCUUAUCCACAAACAGUCACAAGAUAACUCAGGUUUGUCUUCUCUUGCGCCCUAAGUUUGCACAGCUUCAUUUCAGGUUGAUCCGGAACAAGUACGGUCGAUGGUACGGACCGUCUGUCCGUACCUCUCCCUAUUUUUGCACCAACUCCCAAUCUUCUCAAAUGGUUGAGUCUGAACAUGAUCUUGGUCGCCCUAAGUUCGUACGGUCCGUACCGUCCGUACCGAUGCUCGACCCUAUUUCUGCACCAUCACCCAACUGACUCCAAAUGGUGUCUAAGUAUGUCUAAGUCCCUCCUGGACUUGACCCUAACUUUGCACACCUCAUUUGGAUACUUCUGGACACUCCUGAACACUCCUAAAGCCUUGAUAGACAAUCUCCAGAGGUCUUGCCCCAUUCUCGCUCAAGACCCAAACUCAACCCAACUCCUCCUUUGGCUCCAUUUCUUUCUUCAAGUCAACACUCCCCCUCAAGCUUGACUCUAGGUGAUCCUAAGCCAAGCUUGGAACCUUGAAGAACUCCCUCAUUAAAAACCUCACCAAGGAAAACCCUUUGGGACAAAACCUUGAGGAGGGAAAAAGAGUAAAGCCUUCAAGGCCUAGGGAUUGGCCAGUGAGCCUAUGUGCCUUAGUAUCAAUUGGGACAAAACCUUGAGGAGGGAAAAAGAGUAGAGCCUUCAAGGCCUAGGGAUUGGCCAGUGAGCCUAUGUGCCUUAGUAUCACUGAGGUUUAGGCACAUAGGCUCUGGAUCACGGCCUCUUCACUUCACCACACCUUCUUAAACUCUUCUAUAGAACCGGCUUAGUGUCUCCCCCCUUUCACCUGACUUCAUGCCAUCUUGAAAGGCUAGGAACGACCUGAUCCUCUCCAUUGAGUCUCCAAGUAAGGUACCUGAUACAUCAUUCCACAAGUGUAUCAGUUCUCAAGAGAUAAACCUAUCAUGAAUGUAUAUAAAGAGAUUGAUCAGGUUUACUCCCUUGUUUAAAUGUUGAGGAGUGGCUGCUCUUCACACACCACUUGAAUCCCUCACUUGCUGAGCUUAACAGCUCCUUCUCUUAUCAUGCAAGCUCAUCCACACUCCCCCUCAAGCUUGAGACCGAGUAGAGGAAAGGUCCAAGCUUGAUGGUGAGCGCAUGUUAGCUCCAUGAUAAGCCUUGUGGAGAGCACCUCCAUCUCUUUCAGACUUGAUGCUUGAAUCCUCCACUACAUCACCAUUGCACUGAGGAGAUACCUCAGCCCACUCUCCAAGCAUCUCACACUAGCUUGUUGAGUGACUUUCUUCUUC
This 3617-nucleotide long non-coding RNA is filed under the name Brassica napus (rape). RNAcentral's name for it is "long non-coding RNA (BNAP_LNC018818)". The record is from RNAcentral. Lineage: Eukaryota; Viridiplantae; Streptophyta; Magnoliopsida; Brassicales; Brassicaceae.